Pieris rapae (cabbage white) is the source of this 728-nucleotide long non-coding RNA. RefSeq lists it as uncharacterized. The transcript has 3 exons. The record is from RefSeq and is a predicted model, not a curated record. NCBI's taxonomy places the organism in Eukaryota, Metazoa, Arthropoda, Insecta, Lepidoptera, Pieridae.
UAUAAAAAGAUAACACUUUGUGAAUCAAGAAGUUGUACUUUAGAAAUCUGAUGAAAGUUUGGGAUUAAAAUAAAAUUAGAAAUAUGGAGAUAAAUAGUAACAAUGCUUUCUUAAUAGCAGUUAAAGUCUCUUUUGAUACUUCGCAAUCAUGUUUUUGCUUCAAUAAUCUCAGCAAUAGAUUCAAAGAGGAAUUGCAUAAAUUCAUAGUAUAUUUGUUAAAAAAACCAUUGUUCACAACAAUGUGUUUAUCCAUUAUAACUGGUGUUGUAACAGCCACUGUAUUUUCUUCAUUGCUAAUAUUUUCAAUAUCGUUAAUUUUUGUGGCCCUUAUUUUAUUAAUACAAGGUUUCACGAUUUUUUUAAUUAUCAGCAUUGGUGUCCACAUAUUUUUGUUUUUCGUUAUAGCUACAAUCUUUAUUUUAGGUUUAAAAAAAAUGUUUAGGGAAUUAAGAAUUAUUUAGAAUUCUACCCAUUAUACAUUUACUAGGUAUAUAAUGUUACUUGAAGAUAUGAUAUAUUACUUGGAACAAUUAGUAUUUUAGCGUUUUGAUUGAUAAUCAUCCAAUUAAUUUAAAUUAUUAUUUAUUGUGAGUUACUGGACGAUUUAUUGCUCCUGAUAGUUAUUAUUUUAAGGAAUAAUGGAUAAAAAGAGAUAUAAACAUAACCAGUUUACAUUUAAAUUUUAUAGGACUAAUUUUGUAUAAUGGCUGAACGGCAUCUAUUUACCU